UACGUAGGGUGCAAGCGUUGUCCGGAAUUAUUGGGCGUAAAGAGCUCGUAGGCGGUCUGUCGCGUCGGCUGUGAAAUCCCGAGGCUCAACCUCGGGUCUGCAGUCGAUACGGGCAAACUAGAGUAUUGCAGGGGAGACUGGAAUUCCUGGUGUAGCGGUGAGAUGCGCAGAUAUCAGGAGGAACACCGGUGGCGAAGGCGGGUCUCUGGGCAACUACUGACGCUGAGGAGCGAAAGCGUGGGGAGCGAACAGG
RNAcentral lists this ribosomal RNA (253 nucleotides) under uncultured bacterium. Its description in RNAcentral is "partial 16S ribosomal RNA". It matches the Rfam family "Bacterial small subunit ribosomal RNA", at positions 524 to 776 of the family's 1533-position model. The record is from RNAcentral.